CACAGCACAAUGAUCUUUAAAAACCAAUUCCAACUGUUCUUGUGCAAAUAGACACAGGGUAUAGUAGUUCUGGUUUGCUGUAACAAAAGGCUCAUAGAAAAUAAGCUUGGGCAAUUUAAGUAUGAAUAGACUGAAAAUGACUUUUGCCAGGUAGUACCAAGGCCAUGCUGUUAAUGUCAGCCUCUGUGAAUAGGAUGAAUUCCUGUAUGCUACUUUUCUCUGCUUGGUUUCAAAGCAACUUACAAAGGUUGAAUGCUGUUUUACUUGACAUACAGCUGGUGAAAAGGGGGUACAGAGAAAGAAAUUCAGGCCUGAGCACAGGUCUUCUGGCUGCAGCCUGGCCUAUAGCUGUAGAUGUUUCCUUUAACUUGUGUUGCUUGCUUGCAGAAAAGAGAGAGUUGCUUAUGUUUGGGUGCUCAUCAGGUGCUACCAAUUGUCCAUCAGGAGAUGGCUGGAGCUUCUGUAUCCCAUAUAAUACACCUAACCCCCACCCCACAGCAUUUCAAAGGUCAAUACAAGCAACUUCAGAGGAAGUCACUGCUUGA
This 545-nucleotide long non-coding RNA is filed under the name Anser brachyrhynchus (Pink-footed goose). RNAcentral describes it as "lncRNA (ENSABRG00000000433.1)". The record is from RNAcentral. Lineage: Eukaryota; Metazoa; Chordata; Aves; Anseriformes; Anatidae.